RNAcentral lists this ribosomal RNA (449 nucleotides) under uncultured bacterium. RNAcentral's name for it is "partial 16S ribosomal RNA". It matches the Rfam family "Bacterial small subunit ribosomal RNA", at positions 28 to 523 of the family's 1533-position model. The record is from RNAcentral.
GACGAACGCUGGCGGCAGGCUUAACACAUGCAAGUCGAACGAAGCCUUCGGGCUUAGUGGCGGACGGGUGAGUAACACGUGGGAACGUACCUUUUGGCUCGGAACAACACAGGGAAACUUGUGCUAAUACCGAAUGAGCCCUUAGGGGGAAAGAUUUAUCGCCAUUAGAGCGGUCCGCGCUGGAUUAGCUAGUUGGGGGGGUAAAGGCCCACCAAGGCUACGAUCCAUAGCUGGUCUGAGAGGAUGAUCAUCCACACGGGGGCGGAGGCACGGCCCUGACUCCGUCGGGAGGCAGCAGUGGGGAAUUUUGCGCAAUGGGCGAAAGCCUGACGCAGCCAUGCCGCGUGAAUGAUGAAGGUCUUAGGAUUGUAAAAUUCUUUUACCAGGGACGAUAAUGACAGUACCUGGAGAAAAAGCUCCGGCUAACUUCGUGCCAGCCGCCGCGGUAA